This 639-nucleotide ribosomal RNA is filed under the name uncultured bacterium. RNAcentral's name for it is "bacterial SSU rRNA". It matches the Rfam family "Bacterial small subunit ribosomal RNA", at positions 202 to 842 of the family's 1533-position model. The record is from RNAcentral.
CAAAGGCUUCGGCCGGUAAAGGAUGGGGAUGCGUCUGAUUAGCUUGCCGGCGGGGUAACGGCCCACCGGGGCGACGAUCAGUAGGGGUUCUGAGAGGAAGGUCCCCCACAUUGGAACUGAGACACGGUCCAAACUCCUACGGGAGGCAGCAGUGAGGAAUAUUGGUCAAUGGGCGCGAGCCUGAACCAGCCAAGUAGCGUGCAGGACGACGGCCCUAUGGGUUGUAAACUGCUUUUAUACGGGGAUAAAGUAUGCCACGUGUGGUUUAUUGCAGGUACCGUAUGAAUAAGGACCGGCUAAUUCCGUGCCAGCAGCCGCGGUAAUACGGAAGGUCCGGGCGUUAUCCGGAUUUAUUGGGUUUAAAGGGAGCGCAGGCCGGGUUUUAAGCGUGCCGUGAAAUGUCGGGGCUCAACCUUGACACUGCGGCGCGAACUGGAGUCCUUGAGUGCGCGGAACGUAUGCGGAAUUCGUGGUGUAGCGGUGAAAUGCUUAGAUAUCACGAAGAACCCCGAUUGCGAAGGCAGCAUACGGCAGCGCUACUGACGCUGAAGCUCGAAGGCGCGGGUAUCGAACAGGAUUAGAUACCCUGGUAGUCCGCGCGGUAAACGAUGGAUGCCCGCUGUUGGCGAUAUAUUGUCA